AUGAACGCUGGCGGCGUGUCUAAGGCAUGCAAGUCGUACGGAUACUAUUUAAGAUUACAUCAAAGAUGGUGUUAGUGGCAAACGGGUGCGUAACACAUUGGUAACCUACCCCUAAGACGGGCAUAACUCCGCGAAAGCGGAGCUAAUUCCCGAUAAGCUCCUGCUGCGAUGGCAGCAAGAGUAAAGCUUCGGCGCUUAGGGAGGGGCCUAUGGCUCAUCAGCUUGUUGGUAGGGUAAUGGCCUACCAAGGCUACGACGAGUAGCGGGUGUGGGAGCACGACCCGCCUCACUGGGACUGAGACACUGCCCAGACUCCUACGGGAGGCUGCAGUCGAGAAUCUUCCCCAAUGCACGAAAGUGUGAGGGAGCGACGCCGCGUGAAUGAAGACGCCCUUCGGGGUGUAAAGUUCUUUUUUCUGGGAAGAACAAAUGACUGUACCAGAAGAAUAAGGGGCUGCUAACUCUGU
RNAcentral lists this ribosomal RNA (467 nucleotides) under uncultured bacterium. RNAcentral's name for it is "bacterial SSU rRNA". It matches the Rfam family "Bacterial small subunit ribosomal RNA", at positions 29 to 506 of the family's 1533-position model. The record is from RNAcentral.